AGCUCUGUAAGCGUAUACCAAAGUUGUUGCAGUUAAAACGCUCGUAGUCGGAUUUUGGCGUCGAGCUACUGAGGCUUCGUAAAGAUGUCGAUGUAGUUCCGCCUUUGUGGAUGGGGGCGUGGUGGUACUUUAUUGUAUUGCUUCGUUUCCGCCGCUGUUUACUGUGAAAAAAUUAAAGUGUUCAAAGCGAGCGAUUGUCAUGAAUAAAUUAGCAUGGAAUAAUAGAAUAGGACCUGGUCCUGUUUUGUUGGUUUGUCUGUAUCAGGUAAUGAUUAAGAGGGACGGUCGGGGGCAUUUGUAUUCCAGCGCUAGAGGUGAAAUUCUUGGAUUGCUGGAAGACAAACAGCUGCGAAAGCGUCUGCCAAGGACGUUUUCA
This 376-nucleotide ribosomal RNA is filed under the name uncultured eukaryote. Its description in RNAcentral is "SSU rRNA". It matches the Rfam family "Eukaryotic small subunit ribosomal RNA", at positions 587 to 972 of the family's 1831-position model. The record is from RNAcentral.